CCUACGGGUGGCAGCAGUGAGGAAUAUUGGUCAAUGGCCGGAAGGCUGAACCAGCCAUGCCGCGUGAAGGUCAGUGCCCUAUGGGCGUUAAACUUCUUUUGUGCGGGAGCAAUAAUGGUCACGUGUGGCCAGACGAGAGUACCGUACGAAUAAGCAUCGGCUAACUUCGUGCCAGCAGCCGCGGUCAUACGGGGGAUGCAAGCGUUAUCCGGAUUUUUUGGGUUUAAAGGGUGCGUAGGCUGGGAGGUAAGUCAGCGGUGAAAUGCCCCGGCUCAACGGGGUGAAGUGCCAUUGAUACUGCCUUGCUGGAAUGCGGAUGCCGUAGGAGGAAUGUGUGGUGUAGCGGUGAAAUGCAUAGAUAUCACACAGAACACCGAUUGCGAAGGCAUCUCACGAAUCCGCGAUUGACGCUGAUGCACGAAAGCGUGGGUAUCGAACAGGAUUAGAUACCCCUGUAGUC
RNAcentral lists this ribosomal RNA (460 nucleotides) under uncultured bacterium. RNAcentral describes it as "partial 16S ribosomal RNA". It matches the Rfam family "Bacterial small subunit ribosomal RNA", at positions 338 to 795 of the family's 1533-position model. The record is from RNAcentral.